AUUGAACGCUGGCGGCAGGCCUAACACAUGCAAGUCGAACGAGUGGAGGACGGGUGAGUAAUGUCGGGGAAAUUGCCUGAUGGAGGGGGAUAAAUAAUGGAAACGGUAGUUAAUACGGCAACCCAACAGAUGUGCCCAGAUGGGAUUAGCAAGUUGGUGGGGUAACGGUUCACCAAGGCGACGAUCCCUAGCUGGUCUGAGAGGAUGACGAGCCAACCUGGAACUGGGACACGGUCCAAACUCCUACGCUAGGAAGCAGUGGAGAAUAUUGCACUAUGGCCGCAAGCCUGAUUCAGCCAUGCCGCGUGUAUGAGGAGGGCCUUCGGGUUGUAAAGUACUUUCAGCGGGGAGGCGUUACCCGCAGAAGAAGCGCCGGCUAACUACGUGCCAGCCGCCGCGGUAAUAC
This 406-nucleotide ribosomal RNA is filed under the name uncultured bacterium. RNAcentral describes it as "partial 16S ribosomal RNA". It matches the Rfam family "Bacterial small subunit ribosomal RNA", at positions 30 to 526 of the family's 1533-position model. The record is from RNAcentral.